CUCGUAGGCGGUUCGUCGCGUCCGGUGUGAAAGUCCAUCGCUUAACGGUGGAUCUGCGCCGGGUACGGGCGGGCUGGAGUGCGGUAGGGGAGACUGGAAUUCCCUGUGUAACGGUGGAAUGUGUAGAUAUCGGGAAGAACACCAAUGGCGAAGGCAGGUCUCUGGGCCGUUACUGACGCUGAGGAGCGAAAGCGUGGGGAGCGAACA
RNAcentral lists this ribosomal RNA (207 nucleotides) under uncultured bacterium. Its description in RNAcentral is "partial 16S ribosomal RNA". It matches the Rfam family "Bacterial small subunit ribosomal RNA", at positions 568 to 774 of the family's 1533-position model. The record is from RNAcentral.